UGAGGAAUAUUGGUCAAUGGACGCAAGUCUGAACCAGCCAUGCCGCGUGCAGGAUGAAGGUGCUAUGCAUUGUAAACUGCUUUUGUACGAGGGUAAAUGCAGGUACGUGUACCUGUUUGAAAGUAUCGUACGAAUAAGGGUCGGCUAACUCCGUGCCAGCAGCCGCGGUAAUACGGAGGACCCGAGCGUUAUCCGGAUUUAUUGGGUUUAAAGGGUGCGUAGGCGAUAGUAAGUUAGAGGUGAAAGCUCGAUGCUCAACAUCGAAAUUGCCUCUGAUACUGUUAGUCUAGAGUAUAGUUGCGGAAGGCGGAAUGUGUGGUGUAGCGGUGAAAUGCUUAGAUAUCACACAGAACACCGAUUGCGAAGGCAGCUUUCCAAGCUAUUACUGACGCUGAUGCACGAAAGCGUGGGGGAGCGAACAGGAUUAGAUACC
This 433-nucleotide ribosomal RNA is filed under the name uncultured bacterium. RNAcentral describes it as "bacterial SSU rRNA". It matches the Rfam family "Bacterial small subunit ribosomal RNA", at positions 355 to 786 of the family's 1533-position model. The record is from RNAcentral.